Conger conger (European conger) is the source of this 3961-nucleotide long non-coding RNA. RefSeq lists it as uncharacterized. Lineage: Eukaryota; Metazoa; Chordata; Actinopteri; Anguilliformes; Congridae. The transcript has 4 exons. The record is from RefSeq and is a predicted model, not a curated record.
CCUGUCCUGCGGGUCGGCCCCCGACAGGGCGGAGCGAGCCGCGGCCGACAGGGAGCGGGAGAAGCCGGAGAGGGGCGAGGGAAAGGGCACCCAAACCGCCCCGCCGUCGCAGAGACAGUCGGAUGGGGACUCUUCCAUUAAAGACAGGUCACCUCCUAAUUCCACUUCUACUACUCGUAUCAAUCCUACUACCACAACUACUACUGCUACUGCUACUUCCUCCUUCCACCCCAGUCUGACAGCUAACAGCCACUCGACUCACCAUCAGUACUGCUGCCCCGCCCGGCUCCUCCUGCCCCUCCCACCUGGGGCCCUACCCCCUGCCAGGCCCUCGGAGCAGGCAAGAGAAGAGGAAGAAGACGACACCACCCAUCAGUUCUGUUGCCCCGCCUCCGAGUGCAGUAGCCCCUCCUCUAGGUAACCUGCCGAUCAGGUGCCCCCCCCCUCCCCCCCCACCUCUGCCUGCACCUGGAUUGGACAAUGUGGGCUACAGACAGCCUGGACCAAUCAGUAUCACUUGGGAAAGACCCAAACCUGACCCUUCCUCUGUAACUGCAUGUUAAAUACCACCUCAUCGUCUGUGUCACAUGGACCAUGCAAACUAUUUCAAAUGGCUCACAAAAAACGCGUACCUUUGAACUGUGAAAGCAACUGGAACUGUCAACGGCACCGCAGCACAAGACUGGCACGGAGAGAGAAAUAGAGAACCAUAGCAGAAGAAAAAGAAAAAGAAAAAGUUACCUCUCAUCCAUCUUGGAUUCCCUCUAUUCCUGUUUGCCCUGCAGUUCUUUCUCUUGUGUGCGCUGUGCUCUUUACUGUGACUCACAGCGUACCUUGACUCGCUGUGUACUUACGUAUAACUGUGCUAUGACACCUGCAGCCUCUGUACCACAACUAGCACAACAUACUGUGCCCCGCACCGUGCCCCCACAUGAUACUGACUCCAACACUAUGCUCUGACUCUGACUGAACUCUGACUCUGACAGUGUACUCCACAUGACAUUGACUCUCAUUAUAGUCAGACUCUCAGUCUACUCUGAGGACCAUAUUCUGACUCACUGUACACUCUGACUCUGAGUGCAGUGACUCCCACUACACUCUGAUUCAGUUCACAGUGACUCCCACUACACUGAUUCAGUUCACAGUGACUCCCACUACACUCUGAUUCAGUUCACAGUGACUCCCACUACACUGAUUCAGUUCACAGUGACUCCCACUACACUCUGAUUCAAUUUACAGUGACUCCUGACUCAUAGUGUACUCGCAGAAUACCGAUAUCUAAUGAACACAGCCAGAUGUAUCCCUUUGAUCCAGCUGAGGCAUAUUUUCACUCCUUUUUCAUGAAGUGUAAAUUAUUGAUAUGGCUCUGUGAAUGAAGAGGGAACUUGGGCUCUCAGAGAGAACCAUUUUAAUUUCCAGGACAUGUUUUCUCUUUGAGGAGUGGACAAUGAGAUUUCAUUUGGCAGAACCUCAGAGAGGGUUAUCAUGACAGACGUUUUUGGGAAGUGGUGUCAGUUUAAAAACCAAGAGUAGAUGGUGCCUUUAUGAACACAUUACCUGGACAAAAUCACUUUGUGUGAUUGUACUCACAGGGACAGUGGUCCAAAUUGGGUGGUAGUCUGACCUGAUUGGUUGGUUAUCUGAUUGUUUGGUUGAUUGUGUUGUAAGAUUCAGUGGCUCUUUAACGGUACCGAUCCAAGUCCCUGGGGGUCCACUGUUAUCAUUUCCUUUAGUAAUGAAGUGCAUCUGGCUGGCUUGGUUAAAGCUAUUUAAAUGGUGACUAAAAUACGGCUGUUUAAAUUAAGACUAGACAAUAAAGCUAUUUAAAUGCAGCUGUUUGACUAUGCACCACAGCUGUUUCAAUAAACUAUAAAAUACAGUUUCGAUCAUACAAUAUAGCUGUGUAAAUUGAGACUAUUCACUACAGCUGUGUAAAUAGACACUACCACACAGCUAUUAAAUUUUCAUCAUACAAUACAGCUAUUUAAAUUGAUUCUAUUCACUACAGCUGUGUAAAUUUCGACUUCAAUACAGCUGUUUAAAUUUUAACUAUACAACAAAGCUGUUUAAAUUUCGACUAUACGAUAUAGUUGUUUACAUGUAAACUACACAAUACAGCUGUUUAAAUUUCAACUAUACAGUACAGCUGUUUACAUUUCAACUAUACAACACAGCUUUUUAAAUUUUGACUACAAUACAGCUGUUUAAAUUUCGCCGAUACAAUACAGCUGUUUAAAUUUUGACUAUACGACACUGCUGUUCAAAUUUUGACUAAACAAUCCAGCUGUUAAAAUAGAGAUUAUACAAGAUGGCUGAAUGGAGACAGUCAUGAGGGGAAGCAAAUAAACCAUGCGAUGUCCAUGUGAUCUCUUCAUAGUUUUCAGUGAGCCGAUAGUCUAAAGAAUGUAAUGGAAUUGAAGAUAUUUUCUCCCUCUAGCUCACACACACACACACUUAAACACAUCAACUGAAACUGUGACUUUUGUACUGUAUGACGAAGGGUUCGUGACCGACGAAAAGGGAAAACGUUGAUGGUGAUGACGAUGAUGAUAAAAAAUUGGAGGACGAGGCGUUCUAAUGGCAAAACUUACGAUGGUACUGAAAAUGACAUGGAUAAACUGAGCGAAUGCAUGAUGGAUUUAACCUAUUACUGAUAGACAUAUUAAUGUUAUAAUGACCUUGUGUUAUAACUUGCAUUAUGGAAAACCAAUGUGUCCGUGAGAAUAAUUUCGCUGCAUGGCUGGUGUUUCUGGAAGGAAAGAUGAAAAUAUUGAGACUUACAGAACAAUUCUAUCGCUUAUUACUGCACUCUCCUGCUACUGCCUUCUUUGUGUUUCCCUUCUUAUUCUUGUUUCAUAUGCCUUCACUUUAUUUAUUUCAUAUUUAGGACCUCAAGAUUGUAUAACAGGGAUCAGAGACAGGUCUUGGUGGUCCACGAACUGCUGGUUUUCCGCCCUCCCUUUACUUGGGAGUCAGGUGUGAAGACAGUCUGGCCAACCAGUAGCAGUAAUUGUACAACAGAUUACUUGGGAGAAAAGAAAACCAGGGCCAGAUUUGAGGUUCAGAUUUGAUGAUGGCUGCUGUAUAAGAAGAGAAAAGACUCUUGAUUGGGCCGUAACCAAACACUAAAUUUUUCUUCUUCUUACUUCGUAACUUGUUUUCUCCAAAUUCCCAAUUCCCAAUUCCCGGACACGUCUGUAGGCCCAUUCCGGGUGUUCCGAAACACCUCCUUUCAGUUCAGGAGAGUGCAGGCGAGCGCAUGCUCUCCUCUCUGAAAACACGCGGGGGCUGAGCCCCGCUGCAUCGGGGGCAGCCGGGGCAGAUGGGGCAGAUGGGGCAGAUGGGGCAGAUGGGGCAGGGAGACUGCAGGUGCCCUGUGGACCAGGAGACCCGGUGCUGUGCGGUGAGGGUCUUGUAGAGACUCGGUCCUGUACAGGGACAGCCCAGACCGCAGCCCCCCCUCCCAGGGGAAGGGAGCGACAUGGCGGUCAGUUCCGCCCCCCUCUACGCGGUCGCUGUCCGCGGUCGACGCCGGCGUGGUCAGGACUCAAUACUGGAAGGUUGCUGCACCAACAACCAGCCCCCCCCCCCCCCUACGAAAUCCAUACUUGCGCUGACGGGACUAUGCGGGCCUCUGCCUGUCUCAGCCACGCUCACCUGAGGGCCCGAGGCGGAGUGCGGAAGGUUCCAGAAGCGGCGAUCGAUCCCGCAGAGGAUCCACAGAGGCGGACGCGCCGCACGGCUCGGGCUGAAGGCCGGAGUAAACGCUCCCCACCGACACGUCUCCCCCUGUCACCUGCCCACCCCUCCAUUUCAGUCUGCUGGUCCUCUGGGGAGAUAGAAAGAGUCAUUGGGUAAUGUCAAAUAUAUUGAGAAAUAUUAAAUACAGAUUUAUCAAUUGAUGCUAAUAAUGAUGAUGAGGAAUACAAAGACGUAACUAAUAAAAUGAUGAUUCUGAUAA